GCACAGGUUAGACAGAUACAAAAUUUGACAGUUUCUGAUCCAAAUAGGCAUAGAGGAUUGGGGAGCAGGCGGUGCUUAUCAAGAAUGAUGGAGAGAAUCUACGGAGGAGGUUAUCCGUUUUCCAGACUUCUUCUUGUUCUUUGGAUGUAUACUGUGGUCCACUAUGCAGCUGGUCAGCAUUUUCCUUGUCCAUUAUCAAACAUGAACGUGUCUACGGCGAUGGUUUGUGAUGGACAUUACGACUGUGAUUAUUACGAGGAUGAAUCAA
Molecule: long non-coding RNA, 268 nt
Organism: Lytechinus variegatus (green sea urchin)
Lineage: Eukaryota; Metazoa; Echinodermata; Echinoidea; Temnopleuroida; Toxopneustidae
Exons: 3
Source: RefSeq, a predicted model, not a curated record